Molecule: transfer RNA, 73 nt
Filed under: Candidatus Saelkia tenebricola
Lineage: Bacteria; Pseudomonadati; Candidatus Omnitrophota
Description: tRNA-Lys
Rfam family: tRNA
About the family: Transfer RNA (tRNA) molecules are approximately 80 nucleotides in length.
Source: RNAcentral
GGGUCGCUAGCUCAUCAGGUAGAGCACCGGCUUUUUAAGCCGGGUGUGCGGAGUUCGAGCCUCCGGCGACCCA